This 1886-nucleotide long non-coding RNA is filed under the name Ananas comosus (pineapple). Its description in RNAcentral is "long non-coding RNA (ACOM_LNC027707)". The record is from RNAcentral. Lineage: Eukaryota; Viridiplantae; Streptophyta; Magnoliopsida; Poales; Bromeliaceae.
UCUCUCUCUCUCUCUCUCUCUCUCUCUCUCUCUCUCUCUCUCUCUAUAUAUAUAUAUAUAUAUAUAUAGAAUCCGGCUGGGGUACUAUCGAUAGCGCCAAGGAAUUGGUGCUAUCGAAUUUUCCACCGUUAGAUUUAACCCUUUGAUUAUUUUUAUCCGUUAGAUUAUACUAUUCAACCAACCACUCACUCAACCCUAGAGAGCCCACAUCAUUCUAACCACCUAUUUUUCAAUCCAAGGGCUAAAAAAUCAAUAGCACCAAUAGCUUGGUGCUAUUGAUAGUAUUCCAGUUUUUUCUCUCUCUCUCUCUCUCUCUCUCUCUCUCUCUCUCUCUAUAUAUAUAUAUAUAUAUAUAUAUAUAUAUAUAUAUAUAUAUAAAGUAGAGCUACUAUGCUAUCGGAAGCAUAAAGUAGUUGGUGCUUCCGAUUUUUUGGCCAUUGGAUCAAAAAUUCUACGGUUGGGAUAAUAGCGGUCCCCUUAGGGUUGAGUGGUCCCCAUUUGUUAAUAAUAUUAAUCCAAUGGUUAGAAAUGAUCAGUGGGGCUGAUCUAAUGGCUAAAAAAUCGAAAGUACCAACCAUUUUAUGCUUCCGAUAGCAUAGAAGCUCUACUUUAUAUAUAUUAUAUAUAUACACACACAUAUAGAGCUAGGCUCCUAUACUUUCGAAAUCACGGAGGCUUCCGUAUUUAUAGGUUAUUUUCGAUGAUGGGACAUCCUAUUCAACGAUCGGUUCCAUUAGAUAUGAUCUACGCUAUUGAAACUAUCUAAAAACCAAAUUCCAUAAUUUUUUUACUUCGUUUGCCUAGUGAACGAGUAGCUUCAAAAUGAAUGGCUGAAAAUAAAAAUCUCAUAAAAAAUAAUGAUAAAUGACUCAAAUUUCAAAUCAGAAAUAUUAUUCUUAUUCUUGAUAUUAAGUAGAAUUUUUUAUUAAAUUUUCAUGUAAUUUGAAUACUUCUACGCUGUUGAACUUAAAAACAUGCCACAUCGGCCGUUAAAAUAGUCAUUUUUGAAAUCCUAUGAUCGAUUGGUAAAUAAUAUAAAAAUAUUAUGAAAUUUGAUUUCUAGAUAGUUCCAAUAAUGUAGAUUAUACCUAACGGGGCCGAUCGUCAAAUCGAAUAUUUUAUCAUCGAAAAUAAUUUAUAAGUACGGAAGUCUCCGUACUUUCGAAAGUACGUGAGACGUACUCCACAUAUAUAUUACAUCUCUUGUUCUUUCGAAAUUAAUACAGAGGUUUUCGUGCUUUCAAAUUAUUUAUGAUGAUGAGACAUCCAGUUUGACGAUCUACUCUAUUAUAUAUGAUCUACACUAUUAAAACUAUUUAGAAAUCAAAUUAUAUAAUUUUUCGGCAUUGUUUGCCAAGUGGUCAAAGAUUUUAAAAAUAACUAUUUUAAUAGCCGAUGUGGCACAAUAUAAGUUCAACAGUAUAGAACAAUCCAAUUUUUUUAAAAAAUUAAUAAAAAAUUUUACUUACCAUCAAGAGCAAGAGCAAUAAUUCCGAUUUGAAAAUUGCCUUUUAUCAUUAUUUUUUAUGAUAUUUUUAUUUGCAGCCAUUCAUUUUGAGACUACUCGUUCACUAUACAAAUAAAACCAAAAAAUUAUAAAAUUUGGUUUCUAUAUAACUUCAAUACUAAAAAUCAUAUCUAACGGAGCCGAUCGUUGUAUAGGAUGUUCUAUUAUUGAAAUCAACUUAAAAACACGAAGGCCUCCGUACUUUCAAAAGUAUAAUAGCCUCUCUCACUCUCUCUCUAAUACAACUGUGACACUCCUAGGAUUUUGAAUAAUCAUAUAUAUAAGAUAUAAUAGCCCUAAAUCUCUUAACCCAAUUAUAGUAUUUUUUUUUUGCAGUGGUUGGGCACAAAAGGUUAAAAGAGUAGUGUGCUAGAACUAA